UGUUCCUCUGCGCUCAUAAAACACCC
Molecule: non-coding RNA, 26 nt
Filed under: Homo sapiens (human)
Lineage: Eukaryota; Metazoa; Chordata; Mammalia; Primates; Hominidae
Source: RNAcentral